This is a non-coding RNA of Ornithorhynchus anatinus (platypus), 138 nucleotides long. NCBI's taxonomy places the organism in Eukaryota, Metazoa, Chordata, Mammalia, Monotremata, Ornithorhynchidae. The record is from Rfam.
CCUCUCUCAGGAUCGCACCUGGGGAGUUUCCAGUCCUCUACCAGUCUCGGCUAUGGGAGGGAGAGGCAAGCAGAGGCCUACCUGUUCCAUUCCUAGCUUGGACAGUGACUAGUGAGUGGUAGGCAAUCUGCUAUAAGU